Molecule: non-coding RNA, 260 nt
Organism: Cinara cedri
Lineage: Eukaryota; Metazoa; Arthropoda; Insecta; Hemiptera; Aphididae
Source: the annotation of a GenBank genome assembly
AUUUAAACUAUAAAGUGGAUUUGUUUUUAACCAACUAAAGAUAAAUGUUGAAUUAGCAAGAUUCUUGUUAUAGAAUACAACACACUCCCCCUAGUGUGAGGUAAACUUCCAAAUUUAUUUUAGAAACAAAUGAUUUAAAAUAAUACUAGUACUCAAAUUUUUGCUCACCCAGAACAGACAUUUUCUGGCUACUUUCCUUUCCUAAUACGUACCCAUUUGUUCACUUACACGACAAUUAGAUGUACAAUUCCUAAUAGUUG